GACGAACGCUGGCGGCGUGCUUAACACAUGCAAGUCGAACGGACAGGCCCUGCUUUUGUGGGGUGCUCGAGUGGCGAACGGGUGAGUAAAACGUGAGUAACCUGCCCUUGACUGUGGGAUAACUUCAGGAAACUGGGGCUAAUACCGGAUAUGAGCUCCUGCUGCAUGGUGGGGGUUGGAAAGUUUCGGCGGUUGGGGAUGGACUCGCGGCUUAUCAGCUUGUUGGUGGGGUAGUGGCUUACCAAGGCUUUGACGGGUAGCCGGCCUGAGAGGGUGACCGGCCACAUUGGGACUGAGAUACGGCCCAGACUCCUACGGGAGGCAGCAGUGGGGAAUAUUGCACAAUGGGCGGAAGCCUGAUGCAGCAACGCCGCGUGCGGGAUGACGGCCUUCGGGUUGUAAACCGCUUUCGCCUGUGACGAAGCGUGAGUGACGGUAAUGGGUAAAGAAGCACCGGCUAACUACGUG
Molecule: ribosomal RNA, 468 nt
Filed under: uncultured bacterium
Lineage: Bacteria
Description: partial 16S ribosomal RNA
Rfam family: Bacterial small subunit ribosomal RNA
Source: RNAcentral